Non-coding RNA from Caenorhabditis elegans, 21 nucleotides. Lineage: Eukaryota; Metazoa; Nematoda; Chromadorea; Rhabditida; Rhabditidae. The record is from Ensembl.
UCUUGUCUUAAACGUUCUCCU